UACGAAGGGGGCUAGCGUUGCUCGGAAUCACUGGGCGUAAAGCGCACGUAGGCGGAUUGUUAAGUCAGGGGUGAAAUCCUGGAGCUCAACUCCAGAACUGCCUUUGAUACUGGCGAUCUCGAGUCCGGGAGAGGUGAGUGGAACUGCGAGUGUAGAGGUGAAAUUUGUAGAUAUUCGCAAGAACACCAGUGGCGAAGGCGGCUCACUGGCCCGGUACUGACGCUGAGGUGCGAAAGCGUGGGGAGCAAACAGG
RNAcentral lists this ribosomal RNA (253 nucleotides) under uncultured bacterium. RNAcentral describes it as "partial 16S ribosomal RNA". It matches the Rfam family "Bacterial small subunit ribosomal RNA", at positions 524 to 776 of the family's 1533-position model. The record is from RNAcentral.